UACCUUUAACUGAAAGAAACACGGGUGA
Molecule: small RNA, 28 nt
Filed under: Bombyx mori (domestic silkworm)
Lineage: Eukaryota; Metazoa; Arthropoda; Insecta; Lepidoptera; Bombycidae
Description: ovarian small RNA-20939
Source: RNAcentral